GUGCUUGCUUCAGCAGGACAUAUACUAAAAAUGGAACAGUAAAAGGUUAGCAUGGUCCCUGAACAAGAAUGACACUCAAAUUUUUGAGACAUUUCAUAUUUUA
This is a small nuclear RNA of Cavia aperea (Brazilian guinea pig), 103 nucleotides long. NCBI's taxonomy places the organism in Eukaryota, Metazoa, Chordata, Mammalia, Rodentia, Caviidae. The record is from Ensembl.